AGCGAACGCUGGCGGCAGGCUUAACACAUGCAAGUCGAGCGGGCACUUCGGUGUCAGCGGCAGACGGGUGAGUAACACGUGGGAACGUACCCGUGGGUUCGGAAUAACGCUGGGAAACUAGCGCUAAUACCGGAUACGCCCUUUUGGGGAAAGGCUUGCUGCCGAAGGAUCGGCCCGCGUCUGAUUAGCUAGUUGGUGGGGUAAUGGCCUACCAAGGCGACGAUCAGUAGCUGGUCUGAGAGGAUGAUCAGCCACACUGGGACUGAGACACGGCCCAGACUCCUACGGGAGGCAGCAGUAGGGAAUAUUAGACACUGAGCGCAAGCCUGAUUCAGCCGUGCCGCGUGAGUGAUGAAGGCCUUAGGAUUGUAAAGCUCUUUUGUCCGGGACGAUAAUGACGGUACCGGAAGAAUAAGCCCCGGCUAACUUCGUG
This 433-nucleotide ribosomal RNA is filed under the name uncultured bacterium. Its description in RNAcentral is "partial 16S ribosomal RNA". It matches the Rfam family "Bacterial small subunit ribosomal RNA", at positions 29 to 507 of the family's 1533-position model. The record is from RNAcentral.